Molecule: long non-coding RNA, 767 nt
Filed under: Rhinopithecus bieti (black snub-nosed monkey)
Lineage: Eukaryota; Metazoa; Chordata; Mammalia; Primates; Cercopithecidae
Description: lncRNA (ENSRBIG00000045246.1)
Source: RNAcentral
CCGGUCUCCGCCCCGGGGCUCCAGCUGCACGCGGGGAGCUGCGGCUGCUCUGGCAAAGGGGCCGCGGCUGCUUUAAGAGCCGCCUCCCCCUCUCCUCCUUUGACAAUGGUCUGAACCGAGCUCUGCUUCCCAAAGCAAAAUUUGUAAUAUGCCAUUUUUCCGAUGGACGCUUCUCCUUUUGGCUGCUGACGGAGCCACGGGAAGAUGCCGAGCUCCUGCCACGCCACCGGGCCGGGGCACGUUCCGGGAGGGCGCCGGGGCACGCGUGUGUCUGAGCUACCUUUCUCCUCCCGUUGCUAGGGAAAUGGUCCAGGAGUGCUGGGUGUGAGCCUCCCUUCUCCUCAAGCCGGAGACUGCGGUUGUCAUUGAUCAAUUGAAGAAGCAAGGACCCGAAAUCACAGACAUUAGCAAUGAUGUGUGAAGUGAUGCCCACGAUUAAUGAGGACACCCCAAUGAGCCAAAGGGGGUCCCAAAGCAGUGGCUCGGACUCAGACUCUCAUUUUGAGCAGCUGAUGGUGAAUAUGCUAGAUGAAAGGGAUCGUCUUCUAGACACCCUUCGGGAGACCCAGGAAAGCCUCUCACUUGCCCAGCAGAGACUUCAGGAUGUCAUCUAUGACCGAGACUCACUCCAGAGACAGCUCAAUUCAGCCCUGCCACAGGAUAUCGAAUCCUUAACAGGAGGGCUGGCUGGUUCUAAGGGGGCUGAUCCACCGGUAAGUUAGAUUCUUCAUUAAAUUUAACCGUUGACGAAUUGAAUUGUGUACACA